RNAcentral lists this ribosomal RNA (253 nucleotides) under uncultured bacterium. RNAcentral's name for it is "partial 16S ribosomal RNA". It matches the Rfam family "Bacterial small subunit ribosomal RNA", at positions 524 to 776 of the family's 1533-position model. The record is from RNAcentral.
UACAGAGGUGGCAAGCGUUGUUCGGAAUUACUGGGCGUAAAGGGCGCGUAGGCGGCCUUCUAAGUCAGACGUGAAAUCCCCCGGCUUAACCUGGGAACUGCGUCUGAUACUGGAGGGCUUGAGUGCGGGAGAGGGAUGUGGAAUUCCAGGUGUAGCGGUGAAAUGCGCAGAUAUCAGGAAGAACACCCGUGGCGAAGGCGGCUCUCUGGAACGCAACUGACGCUGAGACGCGAAAGCGUGGGGAGCAAACAGG